RNAcentral lists this long non-coding RNA (778 nucleotides) under Bactrocera tryoni. RNAcentral's name for it is "uncharacterized LOC120779622, transcript variant X2". The record is from RNAcentral. Lineage: Eukaryota; Metazoa; Arthropoda; Insecta; Diptera; Tephritidae.
AACGUGCAUAUAUUUAUUUAUUUAAAAGUAACAACCGAUUUAUUACGCAAAAAAUGCCCUGUGUUCUUAAAAGCCAUCACAUGUACUGCUAUUAUUUAUCUAUGUAGUUAGCAACACAACAGAACACAACAUUGCAAUCAGCCACAGCGACGUCGGCAACACUGCUACAGUGUAAAAGUAAUACAAAGAGCAGCCGACACAACGUAUACCUAACCCCUAAAAGCGACAUACAAACCAUAGUCACAGCUAAAGUCAAUGGUUAUUCUGCACAAAAUAUAUCGCCUAAUGACAACAAGCAGGAAGUAUAAGUAGAAGAAGGGAUUACAAGUCAUACCCUUACAUUGAGCAAAAAUAUACAUACAUAUAAAUAUGAAUUAAGCACAGCUACCGUAACCAAAUAUACAGCAAUAGCAGAAACACCAGCUACAUAUAAUAAUAGAAAUAAUAAAACAGCAACAGAAGCAGCAAUAAUAACUUCAAUGAAGCUGUGCCAAAAGCAACUUGAAUCUUCUUUGUGCUCCAUAUCACGCAGCCUUCUCCACUACUCCAGUUUGUAACAUUUUGGCUGAAUCCGGACUUCCUGACCUCACCGAACGGGUGGAAUAUAUGACCGCUGGACUUAUAUACAAAGUUUCAUCCUGCAACAACUCCAACCUGUAUAAAAAUGUACUCAAUGCUAUAAAUAGGAAACGCUUCCCAAAGAGGCUCUCGGCACUACAUGGCGAGGUUCUCUGUCUAGAGAAAUGUAUAUACCGGUUAAACCCACUCGGCAAGCUCA